RNAcentral lists this ribosomal RNA (253 nucleotides) under uncultured bacterium. RNAcentral's name for it is "partial 16S ribosomal RNA". It matches the Rfam family "Bacterial small subunit ribosomal RNA", at positions 524 to 776 of the family's 1533-position model. The record is from RNAcentral.
UACGUAGGGGGCUAGCGUUGUCCGGAUUUAUUGGGCGUAAAGAGCGUGUAGGCGGCCAGGUAGGUCUGGUGUGAAAACUCGAGGCUUAACCUCGAGAUGUCAUCGGAAACCAUCUGGCUAGAGUCCGGAAGAGGAGAGUGGAAUUCCUGGUGUAGCGGUGAAAUGCGCAGAUAUCAGGAAGAACACCGGAGGCGAAGGCGGCUUGCUGGGCGUGAUCUGACGCUGAGGCGCGAAAGCGUGGGGAGCGAACAGG